This 457-nucleotide ribosomal RNA is filed under the name uncultured bacterium. Its description in RNAcentral is "bacterial SSU rRNA". It matches the Rfam family "Bacterial small subunit ribosomal RNA", at positions 29 to 524 of the family's 1533-position model. The record is from RNAcentral.
AACGAACGCUGGCGGCAUGCCUAACACAUGCAAGUCGAACGAGACCUUCGGGUCUAGUGGCGCACGGGUGCGUAACGCGUGGGAAUCUGCCCUUUGCUUCGGAAUAACAGUUAGAAAUGACUGCUAAUACCGGAUGAUGUCUUCGGACCAAAGAUUUAUCGGCAAAGGAUGAGCCCCGCGUUAAGGAUUUAGGGUAAGUUGGUGGGGUAAAGGCCCUACCAAGCCGACGAUCCUUAGCUGGUCUGAGAGGAUGAUCAGCCACACUGGGACUGAGACACGGCCCAGACUCCUACGGGAGGCAGCAGUGGGAAUAUUGGACAAUGGGCGCAAGCCUGAUCCAGCAAUUGCCGCGUGAGUGAUGAAGGCCUUCGGGUCGUAAAGCUCUUUUACCAGGGAUGAUAAUGACAGUACCUGGAGAAUAAGCUCCGGCUAACUCCGUGCCAGCAGCCGCGGUAAU